Molecule: ribosomal RNA, 493 nt
Filed under: Bacillus sp. enrichment culture clone SN1_Nt7
Lineage: Bacteria; Bacillati; Bacillota; Bacilli; Caryophanales; Bacillaceae
Description: bacterial SSU rRNA
Rfam family: Bacterial small subunit ribosomal RNA
Source: RNAcentral
GGUCGUAAAACUCUGUUGUUAGGGAAGAACAAGUAUCGGAGUAACUGCCGGUACCUUGACGGUACCUAACCAGAAAGCCACGGCUAACUACGUGCCAGCAGCCGCGGUAAUACGUAGGUGGCAAGCGUUGUCCGGAAUUAUUGGGCGUAAAGCGCGCGCAGGCGGUUCUUUAAGUCUGAUGUGAAAGCCCCCGGCUCAACCGGGGAGGGUCAUUGGAAACUGGGGAACUUGAGUGCAGAAGAGGAAAGCGGAAUUCCACGUGUAGCGGUGAAAUGCGUAGAGAUGUGGAGGAACACCAGUGGCGAAGGCGGCUUUCUGGUCUGUAACUGACGCUGAGGCGCGAAAGCGUGGGGAGCAAACAGGAUUAGAUACCCUGGUAGUCCACGCCGUAAACGAUGAGUGCUAAGUGUUAGAGGGUUUCCGCCCUUUAGUGCUGCAGCUAACGCAUUAAGCACUCCGCCUGGGGAGUACGGCCGCAAGGCUGAAACUCAUA